AGACCCGAAACCCGGUGAUCUAGCCAUGGGCAGGUUGAAGGUUGGGUAACACUAACUGGAGGACCGAACCGACUAAUGUUGAAAAAUUAGCGGAUGACUUGUGGCUGGGGGUGAAAGGCCAAUCAAACCGGGAGAUAGCUGGUUCUCCCCGAAAGCUAUUUAGGUAGCGCCUCGUGAAUUCAUCUCCGGGGGUAGAGCACUGUUUCGGCAAGGGGGUCAUCCCGACUUACCAACCCGAUGCAAACUGCGAAUACCGGAGAAUGUUAUCACGGGAGACACACGGCGGGUGCUAACGUCCGUCGUGAAGAGGGAAACAACCCAGACCGCCAGCUAAGGUCCCAAAGUCAUGGUUAAGUGGGAAACGAUGUGGGAAGGCCCAGACAGCCAGGAUGUUGGCUUAGAAGCAGCCAUCAUUUAAAGAAAGCGUAAUAGCUCACUGGUCGAGUCGGCCUGCGCGGAAGAUGUAACGGGGCUAAACCAUGCACCGAAGCUGCGGCAGCGACACUGUGUGUUGUUGGGUAGGGGAGCGUUCUGUAAGCCUGUGAAGGUGUGCUGUGAGGCAUGCUGGAGGUAUCAGAAGUGCGAAUGCUGACAUAAGUAACGAUAAAGCGGGUGA
Molecule: ribosomal RNA, 616 nt
Filed under: Escherichia coli
Lineage: Bacteria; Pseudomonadati; Pseudomonadota; Gammaproteobacteria; Enterobacterales; Enterobacteriaceae
Description: partial 23S ribosomal RNA
Rfam family: Bacterial large subunit ribosomal RNA
Source: RNAcentral